Molecule: ribosomal RNA, 512 nt
Filed under: uncultured bacterium
Lineage: Bacteria
Description: partial 16S ribosomal RNA
Rfam family: Bacterial small subunit ribosomal RNA
Source: RNAcentral
GAUGAACGCUGGCGGCGUGCCUAAUACAUGCAAGUCGAACGAAACUUCUUUAUCACCGAGUGCUUGCACUCACCGAUAAAGAGUUGAGUGGCGAACGGGUGAGUAACACGUGGGCAACCUGCCCAAAAGAGGGGGAUAACACUUGGAAACAGGUGCUAAUACCGCAUAACCAUAGUUACCGCAUGGUAACUAUGUAAAAGGUGGCUAUACUACCGCUUUUGGAUGGGCCCGCGGCGCAUUAGCUAGUUGGUAGGGUAAAGGCUUACCAAGGCAAUGAUGCGUAGCCGAAUUGAGAGGUUGAUCGGCCACAUUGGGACUGAGACACGGCCCAAACUCCUACGGGAGGCAGCAGUAGGGAAUCUUCCACAAUGGGCGAAAGCCUGAUGGAGCAACGCCGCGUGGGUGAAGAAGGUCUUCGGAUCGUAAAACCCUGUUGUUAGAGAAGAAAGUGCGUGAGAGUAACUGUUCACGUCUCGACGGUAUCUAACCAGAAAGCCACGGCUAACUACGUG